Molecule: unclassified non-coding RNA, 153 nt
Filed under: uncultured Pleosporales
Lineage: Eukaryota; Fungi; Ascomycota; Dothideomycetes; Pleosporales
Also listed under: 1 other name
Description: sequence contains ITS2
Source: RNAcentral
AAACCCUCAAGCCCCCGGCUUGGUGUUGGGUGCCUGUCCCCGCUCCCCGCGCGGACUCACCCCAAAUGCAUUGGCAGCCGCCUCUCGGCUUCUUGCGCAGCACAGUGCGCAGCGAGGCGAGGUGAGGCGUGCGUCCAGCAAGCAACCACCCAA